CAGUCGCCGCGGUAAUACGUAGGGUGCAAGCGUUAAUCGGAAUUACUGGGCGUAAAGCGUGCGCAGGCGGUUUGUUAAGACAGAUGUGAAAUCCCCGGGCUUAACCUGGGAACUGCAUUUGUGACUGGCAAGCUAGAGUCUGGCAGAGGGGGGUGGAAUUCCGCGUGUAGCAGUGAAAUGCGUAGAUAUGCGGAGGAACACCGAUGGCGAAGGCAGCCCCCUGGGCCAACACUGACGCUCAUGCACGAAAGCGUGGGGAGCAAACAGGAUUAGAUACCCCCGUAGUCCCUGUCUCUUAUAC
Molecule: ribosomal RNA, 301 nt
Filed under: uncultured bacterium
Lineage: Bacteria
Description: partial 16S ribosomal RNA
Rfam family: Bacterial small subunit ribosomal RNA
Source: RNAcentral